Non-coding RNA from Salmo salar (Atlantic salmon), 708 nucleotides. The record is from RefSeq and is a predicted model, not a curated record. NCBI's taxonomy places the organism in Eukaryota, Metazoa, Chordata, Actinopteri, Salmoniformes, Salmonidae.
CUGAAAUAUUACAACAUUAUGACAAGCUAUAGAACACAGCCGUUCAUCUUCCCUGGUCAAAAGAUGGUGCCAUGGCAACACAGUUCAUCACUGCCACGACUGGAAGUCAUUAUUUACAGAUACAAAAUGCAUGUAUGUAUGUAUGUAUGUAUUGUAAUGUAUUGUAUUGUAUUGAACGUGCAUAUAUUAAGUACAUUAUGCAUAUAGAAUGCAUCCAGUGAUGUAUCAAACAAUUGUCUUUGUAGGACAGACAGUAUGCAAAAUCAACCCCCUUCCAAUGCUAUAUAAAUGACCUGUUCUGACACAACCUUCCUCACUGCAACCACCCUGUCUGCUAGUACCCAGACAGACACUGCCAGAGAUCCAACAGAGAAACAUGUUUCUUACAUCCCUACUCCUCCUGGCAGUCCUGCCAUAUAUACACAGCAUUAGUUUGACCUCCUCCCCUGCUCAACUCAAAGCUCCUGGAGAUUCAGUGAAACUCUCUUGCCAAAUCUCUGGCUAUGCCCUGACAGACUAUGGUACAGUUUGGAUACGACAUCAGCCAGGGAAAACACUGGAGUGGAUUGGGAUCAUCUGGAGUGAUGCAUCCAUCAACUCUGGAGCCUCUUUUAAGAGCAGAUUCACCAUCUCCAGAGACAGUAGUAAUGUACUGUACUUAGACAUCACCAGUCUGCAGUCUGAGGACACAGCUGUGUAUUAUUGUGC